This 253-nucleotide ribosomal RNA is filed under the name uncultured bacterium. RNAcentral's name for it is "partial 16S ribosomal RNA". It matches the Rfam family "Bacterial small subunit ribosomal RNA", at positions 524 to 776 of the family's 1533-position model. The record is from RNAcentral.
UACGUAGGGGGCUAGCGUUGUCCGGAAUCAUUGGGCGUAAAGCGCGUGUAGGCGGCCCGAUAAGUCCGCUGUGAAAGUCCAGGGCUCAACCCUGGGAUGCCGGUGGAUACUGUCGGGCUCGAGUCCGGAAGAGGCGAGUGGAAUUCCUGGUGUAGCGGUGAAAUGCGCAGAUAUCGGGAGGAACACCAGUGGCGAAGGCGACUACCUGGCCUGUUCUUGACGCUGAGGCGCGAAAGCUAGGGGAGCAAACGGG